AAAUGUAGAUAAUUACCCAAGUUUAUGUACAAAGAGUAUGUAAUGGUGGGGUCGGGGAGCAAGUAAUUAUCUAGCUUCAUAUAGCGAGGGGGCCUUUGAAUUGGGGUAAAUUUGAAGACCAGAAAAACCUAGACACAAAGCUAUGCAUAAAUUGUGAUAAACCUGGAUGAGAUGAGAUUGGAAGGAGAGCACUGUUGUUGCAGCAGUUGGGAGACAGAGGUGUCAUUAAAGACCAAAAAAAAAAAAAAAAAACCAAACCCCAAAACCUAGAGAAACAAACGAAGAGUGGAGUUACGGAAUGCUGCAGAGAAAUCAGAUAGAAUAAGGUUUGAAAACAUGAUGGAUAAACUCAGCCAGCAGAAGCCAGAUUCCAUUUGGUUGAGAAACACAGGUAAUGAGAAACUAGUAUUAUUUCAAGAAACCCAGCUGUAAAAGGA
Molecule: long non-coding RNA, 437 nt
Filed under: Bos taurus (domestic cattle)
Lineage: Eukaryota; Metazoa; Chordata; Mammalia; Artiodactyla; Bovidae
Description: long non-coding RNA NONBTAT020453
Source: RNAcentral